GGCCAGGUAGGGAGAGCACAGGGACAUCCACACUCCAACCUCUCUCUUCUGCCCUCCCAGGAUCUUGGCCAGUGGCUCCCCUUGGCUGGAUCCAAUCAGAAACCAGAGGACAGGGAAGCCCCAGUCUUUCUACUUGUUCUGCCAUAAAGUGACUGCCGUGUGUGAAAAGUUUCCAGCGCAACCAAGCUUACGUCAAAUUUUCCUCAAGUUUUUAAAAUCUUUGCCUUAUGAGUUAUGAUUUAUCGAGAUGCCGAGAUCCAUGAUUCCCUAACAGAGCAAAGAUUCCAGAAGGAAGGUGCGUCUUACAAGCAGAAUAUCUUCGGAUUUUAAAAAAUUAAUCCGAGUUUGCCCUUUUGAGGAGAAGUUAAUCCCUGCGCGUUUACAUAAUAUGAAAUAAAUCUGAUCCACAUAUGGC
Molecule: long non-coding RNA, 415 nt
Organism: Zalophus californianus (California sea lion)
Lineage: Eukaryota; Metazoa; Chordata; Mammalia; Carnivora; Otariidae
Exons: 3
Source: RefSeq, a predicted model, not a curated record